This 301-nucleotide ribosomal RNA is filed under the name uncultured bacterium. RNAcentral's name for it is "partial 16S ribosomal RNA". It matches the Rfam family "Bacterial small subunit ribosomal RNA", at positions 509 to 807 of the family's 1533-position model. The record is from RNAcentral.
CAGCAGCCGCGGGAAUACGAGGGGGGCAAGCGUUGUUCGGAAUUAUUGGGCGUAAAGGGUGCGUAGGCGGUUUGACAAGUCUUGUGUGAAAUCUAUGGGCUCAACCCAUAGUCUGCACGGGAAACUGUCGGGCCUGAGAAUGGGAGAGGUGAGUGGAAUUCCCAGUGUAGAGGUGAAAUUCGUAGAUAUCAGGAGGAACACCUGUGGCGAAAGCGGCUCACUGGACCAUAACUGACGCGGAGGCACGAAAGCUAGGGGAGCAAACAGGAUUAGAUACCCCGGUAGUCCCUGUCUCUUAUAC